UCUGGCUCAGGAUGAACGCUGGCGGCGUGCUUAACACAUGCAAGUCGAACGGAGUUUUAACGGAAGUUUCGGAUGGAAGUUUAAGAACUUAGUGGCGGACGGGUGAGUAACGCGUGGGUAACCUGCCUCAUACAGGGGGAUAACAGUUAGAAAUGACUGCUAACACCGCAUAAUAUAGUGAAACCGCAUGAUUUUUGCUAUCAAAUAUUUAUAGGUAUGAGAUGGGCCCGCGUCUGAUUAGCUAGUUGGUGGGGUAAAAGCCUACCAAGGCGACGAUCAGUAGCCGGCUUGAGAGAGUGACCGGCCACAUUGGGACUGAGACACGGCCCAAACUCCUACGGGAGGCAGCAGUGGGGAAUAUUGGACAAUGGGGGAAACCCUGAUCCAGCCGACGCCGCGUGAGUGAAGAAGUAUUUCGGUAUGUAAAGCUCUAUCAGCAGGGAAGAUAAUGACAGUACCUGACUAAGAAGCCCCGGCUAACUACGUGCCAGCCGCGGC
This 498-nucleotide ribosomal RNA is filed under the name uncultured bacterium. RNAcentral's name for it is "bacterial SSU rRNA". It matches the Rfam family "Bacterial small subunit ribosomal RNA", at positions 18 to 518 of the family's 1533-position model. The record is from RNAcentral.